Oxyura jamaicensis (ruddy duck) is the source of this 2663-nucleotide long non-coding RNA. RefSeq lists it as uncharacterized. The transcript has 2 exons. Lineage: Eukaryota; Metazoa; Chordata; Aves; Anseriformes; Anatidae. The record is from RefSeq and is a predicted model, not a curated record.
AAAACUUGACCAAAACCAAUCAAGCUCUUAAUGAUCUGUAGUCGGGAAAGCUUGUUCAGAGAGCUCUGCAGACCCUCAUACAGCAUGUUGUAAAUAAGCUAUCUGAACUCUGGAUUGAGUAUGAAAAUGUUUGAGAACUGCACAAGGGUACUUGUGGUGAAAAUGCAAAAAUACAUGCACUGCUUUCAUAAAUGAGAAUGUGGAGCUGACCGCUUUGCUCAUUGCUUAUGCAGUUUACAACAACAUAAGCUUCAGAUCAGCUGUGUGGCAAGUCUUCAGCAAUGAGGUUUGUGGUGUGGUGUUGACUUUUAUGCAAUGGGCAGAUUUAGAACAAGCUGGAUUCAGGAAAUACCUUUUUUUUUUUUUUAUGGUUAUCAGAUUUACUACUGCAUCCUUUAGAAGGAAAGCUCUCUAAGGUGUUUUUGUCUGAAUAGACUUAAGUCCUUAGUUCUGAAUGACUGUGCUAACUGAAACACCACGAUCAAACUCUUGAGGAAAUAAUGAACUUCUGCCAGCUUAGCUUUUUUUAAUUAUUAUUAUUGUCAUCAACUAAGUAUCUUUCGGUGGGUUGAAACUUGACCUUUUGAAGCUUUAUCUGCUCCUUGUGGGUUUAAGGGGAAAGGCAGUUGUAUGAUGUAUCCAGAACAGCAAGCCUUCUUAAUGAACUCUGAAGCAGCUGCAACCAAGUGAUCGUGCAGUUUUUGCCCCUUUGGAGAAAGCAAGGGGAUGGUCUCGAGGUAUCUGUGCAGGCUACUAACCUAUAAAUAUGUAGAAGCUAAUAGUUGAACAGAUUGCAAGACAGUGUUACUGUUUUUAUUGUUUAUGCAACGAAAGAAAGUAUUAAAAUGAUAUCAGUAAUAAACUAAGUCUAUACAAGUUAUUUUUCCUCAUUUAAAUAUAAAAUAUCCAAUAAUGAACUGAAACAUGAGGUCGUUAGAAACUUUGCUUUCUGCUUCCAUAUCAUGAGCCUUUUUACCCCCAGUAUGAGGGCAGCUCAGAGUUGCCAUAACUGAUUGAUCUCUAAUGCGCUUGUGUACCCAGGGUCUCUUACUGUUUUUUCUAUAUAAUCUGCCCCUGCAUAGAGGAGACAAACCAGAUUCUUUGGUAUAUUCUUGAUGUGACUAUACCAGUGUGAGUGGAUUGGCUGGCUUGUCUGCAGAAUAUUUGGAAUAUUCAUUCUUGAGUUGCUUUUUGUCACACGGAUUGUAUGGGUUGCCUUAUAUCUAGCUGUUAUAACUGAAUUAUGAAGUACGUCCUGUUAAUUUUGUCUGGAAAGGCACUGGUAUGCUAAGAAUCAUGCUUUCUGUGAGAUGCCAAGAGGCUUGGGUAUCUUUUAGCACUUUUCCAAACGCCGAAGUCCAAAACUAAGAUGAAUUAAUAUAGAAAUACAGGUUUACUGUAGGAUUUUCCAUCUGUGUUUCUAUAUGAGGUGUUUCCAUUCUUCCUCUGAAAUGCUUUAUAUCACACUGUUUCUUAGGAAACUGAACAAAUGUUUUGGAGGUGCAUGCUUUCCUCCCCUUCACUUGUUUCUGGGGGAAGACAGACCAGGGUUAAACUCGCUCUUAACAUUGCUACUCUAUGGCUGUCUGUCAAGUAAAGAAGACUCCAUGAGCCUCACACAUCUAUCCUGAUCUUUCUUUUCUGAAGCCUCUUUUCUGUAUGGUUUUAGCUACUCUUAAGAUCUAUAUGCAUGUAUCUGUCAGAACUCUUACAAAUGUUCACAAACUGAAGUGCAUCCUCUGUGUUGCUGAUCAGGAGUGGGUGCUGCUUGCCCAUGUUCCUUGAUGUAGCUGCUGCUAAGCCACAGCUCUUUUUCUGUUCUAGUCACUGUCCUUUGCCUGUUCUCUGUUCUCAUUGCAUUUCUUCUUCUUUCUCUCUUAGUUUGUGGCUCCUUCUCCAGGUUUCCUCUGCAGCAGCAUGUCUGUGUUGGAGUUUGGCUCCUUGAGAUGGGUGAUAAGAGCUCCUGAAGCACGACCAAACUGCUUGCCUGAGCCUUCUGAUCUGUAAGAGUGAGCUGGCCUUGCAGUGGCUGUUAAGGAAGACUGAGGCAGCAGACGUGGAAGUGGAAAAAACCUUCCCAGCAGGUCUCCCAUUAAGUCACCAAGUUCAGCAGCAUGAACUCCCUGUUUGACAAAGGGCUGCUCACCUGGGAUAGUCUGUGGUUCUGCGUGCCUAAGAGAAGCUCAGUUUAGGUGCUGAAAAAUGAGGCGGAGGAGUAUGCUGGCUAGAGUCAGGGUAAAUGGUGAGUGUUCUGCUUCGUUUGUUGUGGUACUUGACGUCAGUGAAGAGGCUUCUCUGCAAUAAAAGGGCGUGUGGUUUUGGUUUCUGUAAAAGGAAAUGAGGCAGUUGUUUAGAAACGAGAACUUUGUUUUCUUCCUUAUAUAAAGUAUGUUGCAGGCUUAGGACUUCAUCAGUCCAGAGCAUCUGACUUUUAGCAAUGGCUCCUUUUCAAAUAAAUAAUGUCAAAACUCACCAAAGCUUACAGCUAGGAUCUAGAGAAGGCUUUAUCAGCAGCUCAAUGCACACAAGACUGACUGAAGCCACAGUAACACUUGAUUUGAAAAUUGUCUGCUUCUGAAUGUGAUAGGCUGCUGGAAGAGUGGAAUAUAAACUAAGGGAAUGCAGCAUCCAGCAGCAGUAAAAACAACAACAACAACAAAAAC